RNAcentral lists this small RNA (57 nucleotides) under unclassified sequences. Its description in RNAcentral is "Streptococcus sRNA SpF59 (ldcC RNA)". It matches the Rfam family "Streptococcus sRNA SpF59 (ldcC RNA)". The record is from Rfam by way of RNAcentral. RNAcentral also lists the same sequence under 1 other name.
UGACCGCCACAAUGAUCGUGGUUAAAAGGCCAUACGGACAGCCGGGUCAAAUGCCGA